UGGGGAAUAUUGCACAAUGGGGGAAACCCUGAUGCAGCGACGCCGCGUGAGUGAUGAAGUAUUUCGGUAUGUAAAGCUCUAUCAGCAGGGAAGAAAAUGACGGUACCUGAGUAAGAAGCCCCGGCUAACUACGUGCC
This 137-nucleotide ribosomal RNA is filed under the name uncultured bacterium. Its description in RNAcentral is "partial 16S ribosomal RNA". It matches the Rfam family "Bacterial small subunit ribosomal RNA", at positions 355 to 509 of the family's 1533-position model. The record is from RNAcentral.